Molecule: ribosomal RNA, 1242 nt
Filed under: metagenome
Description: bacterial LSU rRNA
Rfam family: Bacterial large subunit ribosomal RNA
Source: RNAcentral
UGAAUACGAGAUGCUACGGCGUCGAAGCAGUGUAUGUCAGACUUCCAAGAAAAGCUCGCAAUGUCAUAAAUAAAGAAUGCCUGUACCAUAACCGACACAGGUGGGUAGGUAGAGUAUACUAAGGGGCGCGAGAUAACUCUCUCUAAGGAACUCGGCAAAAUAACUCCGUAACUUCGGGAGAAGGAGUGCCUUCUAUUAGAAGGUUGCAAUAACAAGAUCCAAGCAACUGUUUAUCAAAAACACAGGUCUCCGCUAAGUCGUAAGACGAUGUAUGGGGGCUGACGCCUGCCCAGUGCCAGAAGGUUAAAGAAGUUGGUUAGCUUUGGCGAAGCUGAUGACUGAAGCCCUGGUGAACGGCGGCCGUAACUAUAACGGUCCUAAGGUAGCGAAAUUCCUUGUCGGGUAAGUUCCGACCCGCACGAAAGGCGUAAUGAUUUGGAUACUGUCUCGGAGAGGGACUCGGUGAAAUAGACUUGUCUGUGAAGAUGCGGACUACCUGCACCAGGACAGAAAGACCCUAUGAAGCUUUACUGUAACUUGAAAUUGAAAUUGGACUUUAUUUGCGCAGCAUAGGUGGAAGGCGUUGAGAUUACUCUUGCGGGAGUACUGGAGCCAUCAGUGAGAUACCACUCCUAUAAUGUUAGAUUUCUAACUUUGGAUCAUGAUCUGGUCAAAGAACAGUUUCAGGCGGGCAGUUUGACUGGGGCGGUCGCCUCCCAAAUGGUAACGGAGGCGUACAAAGGUUUCCUCUGAACGGGUAGAAAUCGUAUCUAGAGUGUAAAGGCAUAAGGAAGCUUGACUGUGAGACCUACAAGUCGAGCAGGGACGAAAGUCGGUCUUAGUGAUCCGACGGUGCUGAGUGGAAAGGCCGUCACUCAACGGAUAAAAGUUACUCUAGGAUAACAGGCUGAUCUCCCCCAAGAGUUCACAUCGACGGGGAGGUUUGGCACCUCGAUGUCGGCUCAUCGCAUCCUGGGGCGGUAGUACGUCCCAAGGGUUGGGCUGUUCGCCCAUGAAAGCGGUACGCGAGCUGGGUUCAGAACGUCGUGAGACAGUUCGGUCCAUAUCCGGUGUAGGCGUUAGAAUAUUGAGAGGAGCCUUCUUUAGUACGAGAGGACCGAGAAGGACAUACCUCUGGUGUACCAGUUAUCGUGCCAACGGUAAACGCUGGGUAGCUAUGUAUGGAGAGGAUAACCGCUGAAAGCAUCUAAGUGGGAAGCCCACCUCAAGAUGAGUAUUCUC